GGUUGUCAUGCCAAUGGCACUGCCCGGUAGCUAAAUGCGGAAGAGAUAAGUGCUGAAAGCAUCUAAGCACGAAACUUGCCCCGAGAUGAGUUCUCCCUGAGACUUAGAGUCUCCUGAAGGAACGUUGCCCGGAAGAGUUAUUUGC
This 145-nucleotide ribosomal RNA is filed under the name Salmonella enterica subsp. enterica serovar Kentucky. RNAcentral describes it as "partial 23S ribosomal RNA". It matches the Rfam family "Bacterial large subunit ribosomal RNA", at positions 2719 to 2925 of the family's 2925-position model. The record is from RNAcentral. Lineage: Bacteria; Pseudomonadati; Pseudomonadota; Gammaproteobacteria; Enterobacterales; Enterobacteriaceae.